GAUGAACGCUGGCGGCGUGCCUAAUACAUGCAAGUCGAGCGAACGGACGAUAAGCUUGCUUCUCUGAUGUUAGCGGCGGACGGGUGAGUAACACGUGUAUAACCUACCUAUAAGACUGGGAUAACUUCGGGAAACCGGAGCUAAUACCGGAUAAUCUUUUGAACCGCAUGGUUCAAAAGUGAAAGACGGUCUUGCUGUCACUUAUAGAUGGAUCCGCGCUGCAUUAGCUAGUUGGUAAGGUAACGGCUUACCAAGGCAACGAUGCAUAGCCGACCUGAGAGGGUGAUCGGCCACACUGGAACUGAAACACGGUCCAGACUCCUACGGGAGGCAGCAGUAGGGAAUCUUCCGCAAUGGGCGAAAGCCUGACGGAGCAACGCCGCGUGAGUGAUGAAGGUCUUCGGAUCGUAAAACUCUGUUAUUAGGGAAGAACAUAUGUGUAAGUAACUGUGCACAUCUUGACGGUAACUAAUCAGAAAGCCACGGCUAACUACGUG
RNAcentral lists this ribosomal RNA (497 nucleotides) under uncultured bacterium. RNAcentral's name for it is "partial 16S ribosomal RNA". It matches the Rfam family "Bacterial small subunit ribosomal RNA", at positions 28 to 507 of the family's 1533-position model. The record is from RNAcentral.